Molecule: long non-coding RNA, 2331 nt
Filed under: Cricetulus griseus (Chinese hamster)
Lineage: Eukaryota; Metazoa; Chordata; Mammalia; Rodentia; Cricetidae
Description: lncRNA (ENSCGRG00015032998.1)
Source: RNAcentral
CCUCCCAAGGUCCUAUUGGCCCAGGUGGCUGGUUCUGUUGCAUUGUCCUUUCCUCAUUGGUGUGUCUGGUCAGGUGUCUCUUAGUCAGCAGUCUCUAUGCAUAGAGGCAGGCUUGGCUCAGGCAGGAAGUGCCUGCUGAGUAUGCUCAUGCCAGCUGGCCGCUUGGGUAGGCUGGCUGCAGCUUCUCCUACACCAAGGGGUGUCAUAGACAACACUCACCGUGGAUAAUGAGGCUGGCAUCAGAGCACCUGGCUCAGAAGUACAUAGAACGGCACACUGCAGAGAAUUAGGUGGUAUACAAGGAUGGGUAGUUUUGGCCAAAGGAACUGUGGCACAUGUGAGGACUACAUGGAACAGUGUGGCAGUAGGAGGAACCAGGGAGGAUGGUGGACAUAUACCACUGUCAUACAUGGAAGUGGCCAGAGGAAAGAGGCCAGCAGAACAGGACAGAGGAAGGGGGGGAGAGGAAAUGUCUGUUGUGGAUUGUAAAUGUCUGCUGUAUGUUCACAUGUUGACGGCUUGGUCUCAAGCAUCAGUGCUCAGAGGUGGGGCCUCUGAGAAAAUUAGCAGAUCAGAAGGGCUGUGACCCCAUCAGUGGGUUAAUUCUGGCUUAGUGGGGUGUUGGGAGGAAGUAGGUCAUGAGGGGUGUAAAUUUUAAAGUGAUAUUUUGGCAUCAGGGUGCGAUGUCUCUCCUGAACCUCUUCCCAUCUCUCUCUCCCACUCCCCAUUCCUCCCUCUCUCUUCCUCCUCCCUCCUCCUGUGUCUCAUGUGUCUUUCCUGGCCACUAUGAGGUGAGUGUCUUUGCUCCGCCAUGCACUUCCCCAUGAUGUCUGCCUCACCUCAGGCCCCCAAACAAUGGAGUCAAUGGACCAUGUACCGAAAUCUCUGAAAACACGAGCCACACUUACCUUUUCUCCUUUAAGUCGAUCUCCUCAAGGUGAUUGGUCACAGGGCUGGGAAGCUGAUUGGCAUAAAGAUAUGCAGAGAGACCCAAGAGAGAAAAGGGGUGUAGAUAAAGAGGAUCAUUGAAUCAUAGUUGUCCUGCCUGGAACAGACAUAGGACCCAAGUAGUGAUGGCCCAUUCAUGUGUCAUACAGCUGGAGAAUGACAAAUAAUAUGCAAGAGAGAACGUCUAUUGCAUCAUCUUUGCAGAAUAACGUCAGAAUCAGCAUGUGUGUGUGUGCGCGCGUGCGCGCGUGUGUGCACGUGUACAUGUGUGCGGGCUUGUGUGUGUAUGUGUGUGUGCGUGUACGUGUGCGUGCACGUGUGUGUGUGUGUGUGUGUGUGUGUGUGUGUGUGUGUGUGUGUGUGUGUGUGUGUGUGUGUGUGUGUAGGGGUGGUCCUCAUAGGUACAGAGCGAGAUGGGUACUCCUACUCCCAAGCAACCCCACUGUGCAUUUCCUGAUGUGCACAUGAAACUUGUGGAAUUCCAAGUUUCUAAAUACCCCAGUUCUAGGCUCCUCUCUUGAUGGUGUCAGCCUUUCACUUCUUGAGCUGAUUCUGGCAUUCAGAUCUUGACUGGAGUCACCUCAGAGCUCUGUUGCUCCAGGCAGCCGGCUUUCAUCAGUUACUCGCAAGUGGACACAGCCUGGCUCUGUGGUGUUUCCUAGUGUCUUCCCUCAGCUGUGUGGCAUCAACAAAGUCCCCUUUCAUUUCAGAGGGUCACCGUCUGCCAGCCCUUGAGUGAGGGUGCAUUGCUGUUACUUGCCAGAGGAGGCCCAGUCACCACGUGAAAGCCUUAGUCUUGUGACAGAAAGCGGCACUGUGGGCUUCUCAGUGUGACCCUAUAAAUGUGGAUGUUGGAGGACAUGGGGACGACUCUGGACCCUGAUCACACACUUCAGUACUUGCCUGCUCAGACGCUCUGGGAAUGGUGUAAUCGAGCUCCCACAGUCGCAGCUGUGCUCCCUGUUUGGGCUGAAAGACCAAACAGGAGGCCUGAGACACUGAGAGGUUUCCAUUUGUGUGAGAAUGGGGGCUGACCAUUUGGUGUCGGAUAACCAAUCAGUGUGCUGUUCCCCAAGGAAGAAUAUUUCUCCCACUCUCAGUGUUCCUUGGUUACCUGCAGUUCUUCGUGUAGGAUGGAGGCCUCGUGGGCUUUAUCUGUCCACAUUAGCAUGUCUGUUGUUGUUGUCCUUGUUCUUCUCAUGUUUAGGCAGUCAUGUUGGGCUGGUAGUUCUGUGUGCUAUGAGACAAACUGAGUAAGCCAAGAGUGGGUCAGUCCAGUAAGCUUCACUCAUCACCCCAUGACCUCUGCAUCAAUUCCUUCCCUGCUUACAUUUCUACCCUGAAUUCCUUCAAUAAUGGAUUGGAAUUGGAAGCAAAAUAAAC